Molecule: long non-coding RNA, 634 nt
Organism: Cyprinodon variegatus (sheepshead minnow)
Lineage: Eukaryota; Metazoa; Chordata; Actinopteri; Cyprinodontiformes; Cyprinodontidae
Exons: 3
Source: RefSeq, a predicted model, not a curated record
UGGAUAGACGCCGCAGCUUCUUUGGCUUCUUCAGCGCACAGAUCUUUUUACUUUAUAUCUAUGGAUAUAAAUGGAUUUUUCAGGGUUUCCUCUGAUGGAUUUUGCUUAGAUGAGGGAAACGUUGCUUGUUGUUCAGUUUGAUCGCUUGGAUAAACGCGGCUGUCAUCGCCUCCCCAGUGAGGAAACCAGAAGAGGAAGCGCGUCUGUUUCAGAACCAGCAGGAGGACGGUUCAUCAGGCGGAUCCAAACAUUUAGGAUUUAUUUAUUCACUUUUAAAGGUUACCUCCUCACUGGUCUGAUCUAAGUGCAACAAGUACCAGCAGGGCCGCAUCUAGGGCCCAGUGAGCAAGAUGGGCAACUUUACCACAAAGGAUAACCAUGGAAACACAGGUGCACCUUUGGACAGUUUCCACACUCCUCCUUCAUCUCCACAGAGCACUAUUCCUCAACUUCCACCUCGCACAUCCUCUACUUUAUCGCCAGCACCGGCUGCAACCAUCACCUCCACUGGCAGGAAAUCCCAGCCAUGCUCUCCAAGGACCCUCAUCCCCCCUCCUGACUGGAGACCUCCCCCACCAGUCAGUUCAAACAGCUCUGCAAUCAGUCCUGUAAUAAGCCCAGCCCUCAAGGAGAC